UACGUAGGGAGCAAGCGUUGUCCGGAAUCAUUGGGCGUAAAGAGCUCGUAGGCGGUUUGUCGCGUCUGCUGUGAAAGACCGGGGCUCAACUCCGGUUCUGCAGUGGGUACGGGCAGACUAGAGUGCAGUAGGGGAGACUGGAAUUCCUGGUGUAGCGGUGAAAUGCGCAGAUAUCAGGAGGAACACCGAUGGCGAAGGCAGGUCUCUGGGCUGUAACUGACGCUGAGGAGCGAAAGCAUGGGGAGCGAACAGG
RNAcentral lists this ribosomal RNA (253 nucleotides) under uncultured bacterium. Its description in RNAcentral is "partial 16S ribosomal RNA". It matches the Rfam family "Bacterial small subunit ribosomal RNA", at positions 524 to 776 of the family's 1533-position model. The record is from RNAcentral.